This 425-nucleotide ribosomal RNA is filed under the name uncultured eukaryote. Its description in RNAcentral is "SSU rRNA". It matches the Rfam family "Eukaryotic small subunit ribosomal RNA", at positions 592 to 1017 of the family's 1831-position model. The record is from RNAcentral.
CAAUAGCGUAUACUAACGUUGUUGCAGUUAAAAAGCUCGUAGUUGGAUUUCUGUGUUGGUGAGGCGGCCGGCCACUCGUGGUUGUAGCUAGUUAUCACCGACGCAUCUUGUCACAAUCCUGUCUGGCCUUCACUGGUUGGAUAUGGGGACUGACUCGUUUACUUUGAGAAAAUUAGAGUGUUCAAAGCAGGCUAUCGCCUUGAAUAUAUUAGCAUGGAAUAAUGAUAUAGGACUUUGGUUCUAUUUUGUUGGUUGUUCGAGAACCGAAGUAAUGAUUGAUAGGGACAGUUGGGGGGCAUCAGUAUUCUGAAGCGAGAGGUGAAAUUCUUGGACCUUCGGAAGACUAACAGCUGCGAAAGCGUUUGCCUAGGAUGUUCUCUUUAAUCAAGAACGAAAGUUGGGGGAUCGAAGACGAUCAGAUACCA